Chelonus insularis is the source of this 477-nucleotide long non-coding RNA. RefSeq lists it as uncharacterized. Lineage: Eukaryota; Metazoa; Arthropoda; Insecta; Hymenoptera; Braconidae. The record is from RefSeq and is a predicted model, not a curated record. The transcript is spliced from 3 exons.
AUAGAAUCUGAAACAAAAAUAAUGUAUUAAUUUUAAAAGAUAAAUAAAUAUUCAAUGGUUUUCUAUAAAAAUAAUUUCAAGAGGCAUCAAUAUAUAGUGACAGUGAGUUGGUUUGUUUAGAUUGAAUUGUUAAAUAGUUUAAACUCUCAUAUCCAGGGGAUAUCCGGGCGUCACAAGGAUCAUGAACCAUGACCAGUGUAUCCGAUCAUAACACUCGGCAAUCUUUUGAUAAAGUUCUCUGACGUUACUAAAAUCUGAGAUAAAACCUGUUGGACUACCAUGUGCGAGUUGGCAUCUAAAAAUUAACACCGUGAAUGUUGUUGUUGCUGUUACUUCCACUGACAGUGUCAUGAUCUUCAUGGUAGUUAGCACCGUUACUUGACUUCUCUAAUGACGGUACCGAUGACUUUAAAGAAUUUUUUUGUUUAAAUAGAGGCAUUGUUCUGUAAACAUUCAAAUACAUUAUUUUUUGUGAUA